UUAGAGUGCCCCGCCCACCUGCCACGCUGCUAUUGGCGCAGAGCCCGUGGAGCCCCGCCUCUUCCUGCGGCCGGAUGACGUGAGGCCUGCCAUGACAGCUACCGAGGCGGAAAUGCCAGGGAGGAGGCAGGCUUUGCAUCUGGAGCACAAAGACUGGAGAUGGAGAGAAGGAAAUGCUUUCUGAGGGCCCUGAGGAAAGAACUCAAGAUACACAAAUCAAAGCACUUUGCAAGCAGCUGGACCAAAAGAGAUACUCAGUCACUGAGAAAAGCUCCAACAUGGAGGAGACUGCGAGGGUGCCGCUUGCCAGCCCCAUUAUAUGUGUGGCAGGAAUGAAUCC
Trachemys scripta elegans is the source of this 340-nucleotide long non-coding RNA. RefSeq lists it as uncharacterized. The record is from RefSeq and is a predicted model, not a curated record. The transcript has 3 exons. NCBI's taxonomy places the organism in Eukaryota, Metazoa, Chordata, Testudines, Emydidae.